RNAcentral lists this ribosomal RNA (602 nucleotides) under Arthrobacter sp. RNAcentral's name for it is "bacterial SSU rRNA". It matches the Rfam family "Bacterial small subunit ribosomal RNA", at positions 34 to 651 of the family's 1533-position model. Lineage: Bacteria; Bacillati; Actinomycetota; Actinomycetes; Micrococcales; Micrococcaceae. The record is from RNAcentral.
UAAUGGCGGGGUGCUUACCAUGCAAGUCGAACGAUGAAACCAGCUUGCUGGUGGAUUAGUGGCGAACGGGUGAGUAACACGUGAGUAACCUGCCCUUGACUCUGGGAUAAGCCUGGGAAACUGGGUCUAAUACCGGAUAUGACUGAUCAUCGCAUGGUGGUUGGUGGAAAGCUUUUGUGGUUUUGGAUGGACUCGCGGCCUAUCAGCUUGUUGGUGGGGUAAUGGCCUACCAAGGCGACGACGGGUAGCCGGCCUGAGAGGGUGACCGGCCACACUGGGACUGAGACACGGCCCAGACUCCUACGGGAGGCAGCAGUGGGGAAUAUUGCACAAUGGGCGCAAGCCUGAUGCAGCGACGCCGCGUGAGGGAUGACGGCCUUCGGGUUGUAAACCUCUUUCAGUAGGGAAGAAGCCGUGAGGUGACGGUACCUGCAGAAGAAGCGCCGGCUAACUACGUGCCAGCAGCCGCGGUAAUACGUAGGGCGCAAGCGUUAUCCGGAAUUAUUGGGCGUAAAGAGCUCGUAGGCGGUUUGUCGCGUCUGCCGUGAAAGUCCGGGGCUCAACUCCGGAUCUGCGGUGGGUACGGGCAGACUAGAGUGAUG